RNAcentral lists this ribosomal RNA (571 nucleotides) under Staphylococcus aureus. RNAcentral's name for it is "bacterial SSU rRNA". It matches the Rfam family "Bacterial small subunit ribosomal RNA", at positions 62 to 615 of the family's 1533-position model. Lineage: Bacteria; Bacillati; Bacillota; Bacilli; Caryophanales; Staphylococcaceae. The record is from RNAcentral.
UCGAGCGAACGGACGAGAAGCUUGCUUCUCUGAUGUUAGCGGCGGACGGGUGAGUAACACGUGGAUAACCUACCUAUAAGACUGGGAUAACUUCGGGAAACCGGAGCUAAUACCGGAUAAUAUUUUGAACCGCAUGGUUCAAAAGUGAAAGACGGUCUUGCUGUCACUUAUAGAUGGAUCCGCGCUGCAUUAGCUAGUUGGUAAGGUAACGGCUUACCAAGGCAACGAUGCAUAGCCGACCUGAGAGGGUGAUCGGCCACACUGGAACUGAGACACGGUCCAGACUCCUACGGGAGGCAGCAGUAGGGAAUCUUCCGCAAUGGGCGAAAGCCUGACGGAGCAACGCCGCGUGAGUGAUGAAGGUCUUCGGAUCGUAAAACUCUGUUAUUAGGGAAGAACAUAUGUGUAAGUAACUGUGCACAUCUUGACGGUACCUAAUCAGAAAGCCACGGCUAACUACGUGCCAGCAGCCGCGGUAAUACGUAGGUGGCAAGCGUUAUCCGGAAUUAUUGGGCGUAAAGCGCGCGUAGGCGGUUUUUUAAGUCUGAUGUGAAAGCCCACGGCUCAACCG